Long non-coding RNA from Lolium perenne, 1003 nucleotides. RefSeq lists it as uncharacterized. Lineage: Eukaryota; Viridiplantae; Streptophyta; Magnoliopsida; Poales; Poaceae. The record is from RefSeq and is a predicted model, not a curated record.
GUAUGACGUCUUCAGUUUACCAAAUGGAUCAAUCACCGGUAUUCUUGUGUACACAAAAUCUGCAUACAUGACUACAUUAUAUCGACUAGGUGCUAGCUUCAUGUUUUAUGUACUAACAAAUCUUAUCAUGUAGAUAUCGCGGGAGUUAUCAUGUAUGUUGGCCCAAUUGACCACGACACAUAUUUCCCUCUAGGCAUGAGGGAAUUAGCAGUGGUGGACUACAAUGAUCGUACUGUGUUCCUCCGGUUUUUAGAUGAACUAGCUGACAGCCAUAGAGAACAACUAUUUUUUGGGGAAAUGCAUUAUUCAUUCCUAAUGACAACCUUUAUGGAGGUUGACCAAGCGUCGAGUAAGUCUGAACUAUAAUAAGUGCUAUAUACCAAAUCCAUUCCUCACUUGUACUUACUCGAUGUUUUCAUAAAUAGGAAGCCUUUUAAGUACAUCAGCAACAACAAUCACAUUUCAUCGGUGCUUAGCAUGUCAUCAGUUUGACAUGCUUGAAGGUGUGCGCAAACGAAUUCAUAAUGAUUCAGCUUACGGUGAAGCGGUAAAAAAUGUUGUACUUCUUAGGAGGGAUGCUCAAAAUCCAGCCAACGAGUACAACACAGUUCAUCUACCUGCUGAAGCUUCUUCGAUCAAAUACAUGUACAACUAUCUGAAGCGUAGUACACCCGGCACAUCGCCAGAUAAAGUUGACAAGUACAAUGAAGUUGAUUAGGCAUGUAUGUCCAGAAUCAAUAAUUCUUUAGAAAGGGAUGGUGUUUUAAGCGAGUUAUUUCUAUCCUUUGUUGUAAUAAUAAAUAUAACAUGUUGUUAUAUUCACAAGAUGCUCCAUUCCGUAUCUACUAUUUUUACAUCUUGCAAACCAUCCACAACAUCUCCACUAAAUAAAUGGAUGCAAAAACUUUGUACCUGUAGUGCUUCUCUUGUACAUGAAUGCGCGUGUAUGUAUGUGGAGAAGGGCAAUAAGCCUUUAGAAUGCUUGAUUAUUCCAACACGAAAA